RNAcentral lists this ribosomal RNA (434 nucleotides) under uncultured bacterium. Its description in RNAcentral is "partial 16S ribosomal RNA". It matches the Rfam family "Bacterial small subunit ribosomal RNA", at positions 29 to 507 of the family's 1533-position model. The record is from RNAcentral.
AGCGAACGCUGGCGGCAGGCCUAACACAUGCAAGUCGAACGAACCUUUCGGGGUUGGUGGCGGACGGGUGAGUAACCCGUGGGAACGUGCCUUUAGGUUCGGCAUAACUCAGGGAAACUUGUGCUAAUACCGAAUGUGCCCUUCGGGGGAAAGAUUUAUCGCCUUUAGAGCGGCCCGCGUCUGAUUAGCUAGUUGGUUGAGGUAAUGGCUCACCAAGGCGACGAUCAGUAGCUGGUCUGAGAGGAUGAUCAGCCACAUUGGGACUGAGACACGGCCCAAACUCCGACGGGAGGCAGCAGUGGGGAAUCUUGCGCAAUGGGCGAAAGCCUGACGCAGCCAUGCCGCGUGAAUGAUGAAGGUCUUAGGAUUGUAAAAUUCUUUCACCGGGGACGAUAAUGACGGUACCCGGAGAAGAAGCCCCGGCUAACUUCGUG